GAUGAACGCUGGCUACAGGCUUAACACAUGCAAGUCGAGGGGAAACGACGGGGAAGCUUGCUUCCCCGGGCGUCGACCGGCGCACGGGUGAGUAACGCGUAUCCAACCUGCCUCUGACUGAGGGAUAACCCGUCGAAAGUCGGCCUAAUACCUCAUGGCAUCGUCUGCGGGCAUCCAACGACGAUUAAAGAUUUCAUCGGUCAGGGAUGGGGAUGCGUCUGAUUAGCUUGUUGGCGGGGUAACGGCCCACCAAGGCUACGAUCAGUAGGGGUUCUGAGAGGAAGGUCCCCCACAUUGGAACUGAGACACGGUCCAAACUCCUACGGGAGGCAGCAGUGAGGAAUAUUGGUCAAUGGGCGAGAGCCUGAACCAGCCAAGUAGCGUGCAGGAAGACGGCCCUAUGGGUUGUAAACUGCUUUUAUGCGGGGAUAAAGUGAGGGACGUGUCCUUCAUUGCAGGUACCGCAUGAAUAAGGACCGGCUAAUUCCGUGCCAGCAGCCGCGGUAAUACGGAAGGUCCUGGCGUUAUCCGGAUUUAUUGGGUUUAAAGGGAGCGUAGGCCGUGGAUUAAGCGUGUUGUGAAAUGCAGGUGCUCAACGUCUGCACUGCAGCGCGAACUGGUCCACUUGAGUGUGCGCAACGCAGGCGGAAUUCGUCGUGUAGCGGUGAAAUGCUUAGAUAUGACGAAGAACUCCGAUUGCGAAGGCAGCUUGCGGGAGCACAACUGACGCUGAAGCUCGAAAGUGCGGGUAUCGAACAGG
RNAcentral lists this ribosomal RNA (760 nucleotides) under uncultured Prevotella sp. RNAcentral's name for it is "bacterial SSU rRNA". It matches the Rfam family "Bacterial small subunit ribosomal RNA", at positions 28 to 776 of the family's 1533-position model. Lineage: Bacteria; Pseudomonadati; Bacteroidota; Bacteroidia; Bacteroidales; Prevotellaceae. The record is from RNAcentral.